Molecule: ribosomal RNA, 292 nt
Filed under: uncultured bacterium
Lineage: Bacteria
Description: partial 16S ribosomal RNA
Rfam family: Bacterial small subunit ribosomal RNA
Source: RNAcentral
GUGCCAGCCGCCGCGGUAAGACAGAGGGUGCAAACGUUGCUCGGAAUUACUGGGCGUAAAGCGCGUGUAGGCGGUGCCGCACGUCCGAUGUGAAAGCCCGGGGCUCAACCCCGGACGUGCAUUGGAUACGACGGCGCUGGAGUCCUGAAGAGGAGGGCGGAAUUCCCGGUGUAGAGGUGAAAUUCGUAGAUAUCGGGAGGAACACCAGUGGCGAAGGCGGCUCUCUGGACAGGUACUGACGCUGAGACGCGAAAGCGUGGGUAGCAAACAGGAUUAGAAACCCUCGUAGUCC